CCUACGGGCGGCAGCAGUGAGGAAUAUUGGUCAAUGGCCGGAAGGCUGAACCAGCCAAGCCGCGUGAAGGACGAAGGUCCCAAGCAUUGUAAACUUCUUUUGUCAAGGGACAACAUCAGGCUCGAGAGCCUGACCGAGGGUACUUGAAGAAAAAGCAUCGGCUAACUCCGUGCCAGCAGCCGCGGUAAUACGGAGGAUCCGAGCGUUUUCCGGGUUUAUUGGGUUUAAAGGGUGCGUAGGUGGGAUGUUAAGUCAGUUGUGAAAGUUUGCGGCUCAACCGUAACAAUGCAAGUGAUACUGGAAGUCUUGAGUACAGGUGAGGUAGGCGGAAUUCGUGGUGUAGCGGUGAAAUGCAUAGAUAUCACGAAGAACUCCGAUUGCGAAGGCAGCUUACUAGACUACCACUGACGUUGAUGCUCGAAAGUGUGGGUAUCGAACAGGAUUAGAUACCCCUGUAGUC
RNAcentral lists this ribosomal RNA (460 nucleotides) under uncultured bacterium. RNAcentral's name for it is "partial 16S ribosomal RNA". It matches the Rfam family "Bacterial small subunit ribosomal RNA", at positions 338 to 795 of the family's 1533-position model. The record is from RNAcentral.